Long non-coding RNA from Xiphophorus couchianus (Monterrey platyfish), 566 nucleotides. RefSeq lists it as uncharacterized. The transcript is spliced from 3 exons. The record is from RefSeq and is a predicted model, not a curated record. NCBI's taxonomy places the organism in Eukaryota, Metazoa, Chordata, Actinopteri, Cyprinodontiformes, Poeciliidae.
AUGUCUUAAGAAGCUGUUUAUUAGAUAUGUCAUGAAAUGUGUUUUAUGAUGAUGAGGAUUGAUUGCAGUGAGACCCAGGAUAAGGUGGAAAAAAUUAGUUUUAAUGUAUGUCCAAGUUGUACACAGUGCCAGGAACCCCAGGUGAACAACGAGACACGGACACAAACUCAGGUUGGCUUGACAAAGACAACAAUGACAGGGACACGAUAACUAUGAUAAGGAUCCAGUGAGUUACGGAGGAGACAAACGGAUUAUACUGAAUCCAUGCCACAUCAAAUGUUGAAACAUCAACAGAGUCUCAUUUAUUCAUCAUAGAAGCCUGGUAUUUUCACAUAGGGCAUGUGUGUUCCUGACCUAGUGGACAUUGUCUUCUCGGUAAAUCUGGUUCUUCCUGCAGGCCUGUGUGUGAGCAGCAGCUUAUCAGCUCCGGCCAGAGUUGCCCUCACUCGCAACCACCUCCAUCGCCUGAGAGGAAAAUAAAUUGCACCCAUGCAGUUAAUAAGAAUAAAAAAAUGCAUUGUGACAAAGUCACACAACCAUUACAAAUUCCACAUAAAAAAGGAACU